GGAUGUGAGGGCUAUCUGGCUGCGACAUCUGUCACCCCAUUGAUCGCCAGUGUUGAUUUGGCUGAUCUGGCUGGCUAGGUGAGUGUCCCCUUCCUCCUUCACUGCUUCAUGUGUGUCCCCCCCCGAAGCUGCACGCUUGGUCGAAGAGGACGAGCUUCCCGGAACAGAGGAGGAUUGGGCUUCGGCCAGGUGGAUACAAGUAGCUGUGCUCCCCUGCUAGGACCCCCCAAAAUAUUUAUAUGUAUGUUUGCCUGCAUGAGUUAUGUGCACCAUGUGCGUGCA
This 282-nucleotide small RNA is filed under the name Mus spicilegus (steppe mouse). RNAcentral's name for it is "7SK RNA (ENSMSIG00000009776.1)". It matches the Rfam family "7SK RNA", at positions 1 to 261 of the family's 331-position model. Rfam says of the family: 7SK was discovered as an abundant small nuclear RNA in the mid-70s but a possible function has only recently been suggested. Two independent studies have found that 7SK RNA binds the CDK9/cyclin T complex (known as elongation factor P-TEFb). The record is from RNAcentral. Lineage: Eukaryota; Metazoa; Chordata; Mammalia; Rodentia; Muridae.